CCUAAGUUCUCUGCGCCGAAAUUUCCUUUCCCUUCCCCGUGCCCUAAGCCGCUCGCCACCCAUUGUCAUCACCGGCAGAGCUUCCCUUCUCCCGUCGCCGCCGAUCCUCGCCUCACGAGCGCUGCCCUCCUACCCUGAUUCACCGCCGGCCGAUUGACGACGGGGUCAAGCACCAACACGGAUCUAUCAUCAUCUCCUUUGUGUUGUGCCCCAUUCCAGCAUGACCAGCCUCCCGAUCCUGACAUUGCUGUUGUGUUGACGCAGAUCCACCCAACACCGUGCCUAGCCUUCAUAGUUUUUCCCCUUUCUUCCACUCUCGCUCAAACCGUCGCCAAAUGUCUAUGGUGUAGCCAACAUCGAUGCUCUAAAUCCUUUGCUUUUGUUCCUGUAAGCAAACAUAUCAAGGUAAUUUGUUGGGAGUUAGGGUGUUGAUUUGAAGGUUCUAGUGGAUUCUCUUGCCAACUCUAUUGCUAAGGCACAAAAGCGCAUCCUAGAUCACAAGCACUAAAAAGAAGAGGCCCUUAACAUUCGUGUAAUUAAAGGCAAUGAAGUCAGGGAAGUUGAGAAGGAAUUGCUCUAUAAGAUCGAGGAACUAGAGAAGUAAAGAAACCAGCUGGAUGUUGAACUAAUGAAGGUUAAUACAUCUCUGGCAGCUGUGACUACAAGGUUUAAGAAAAUCAGAGAAGAGAGGGAUUAGUUUGAUGAAGCAAACAGCCGGAUUGUCCUUAACCUGAAAGCCAUGGAAAAUGAGCUAGCAAAUCUGUUGCUUCAUGUAAAGUAGAAGCUGAUAUUGUCCAUGUUUCGAUUAAUUUCUUGGAAGAUAUAUGGAAGUUUCAAUCUUCAUACACAGAGCUAAAAAGAAGCAGAUCAGUGAUGAGCUGGAGAAAGUGCAUUUGCGGACAACCUGAAGCAAUUGAAUUAGAGGUCAGAAGUGGUGCAAAGUUCAGAUGAUAAGAUACUUAAAAAGUCAAAUCCCAAGAAACUUCUUGAAGAGGAAUACUUAGCAACUGAAACAAAAGACUUAGAUUUAAGAAGAACAUCUCGACGUGGGAUUGUUUAGCGUGGUCUAUAAUAAAGGCGGGUACUUCUUGCUUUGUUUUCUUUUAGUACCUUGACCUUAGUGCAUGAAUUAUUUUAGAUAAGGACUGUUUACCUUGACUCCAUUCUUAUUUUUCCUGUUCUUGAUAUUUCCAUGUGAUCUUUGAGAUAUUCGUUUCCAUAUCUAUACAGUCUCGUCUCUUGUUGUUGUCUA
Long non-coding RNA from Zingiber officinale, 1252 nucleotides. RefSeq lists it as uncharacterized. The record is from RefSeq and is a predicted model, not a curated record. The transcript has 2 exons. Lineage: Eukaryota; Viridiplantae; Streptophyta; Magnoliopsida; Zingiberales; Zingiberaceae.